UGGGGUUCACCCUGACGUGGUUCAGCAGA
This 29-nucleotide non-coding RNA is filed under the name Homo sapiens (human). Lineage: Eukaryota; Metazoa; Chordata; Mammalia; Primates; Hominidae. The record is from RNAcentral.